This 467-nucleotide ribosomal RNA is filed under the name uncultured bacterium. RNAcentral describes it as "partial 16S ribosomal RNA". It matches the Rfam family "Bacterial small subunit ribosomal RNA", at positions 28 to 507 of the family's 1533-position model. The record is from RNAcentral.
GACGAACGCUGGCGGCGUGCUUAACACAUGCAAGUCGAACGGAAAGGCCUCUUUCGGGGGGUACUCGAGUGGCGAACGGGUGAGUAACACGUGAGUAACCUGCCCUUGACUUUGGGAUAACUUCAGGAAACUGGGGCUAAUACCGGAUAGGAGCUCCUGCUGCAUGGUGGGGGUUGGAAAGUUUCGGCGGUUGGGGGUGGACUCGCGGCUUAUCAGCUUGUUGGUGGGGGAGUGGCUUACCAAGGCUUUGACGGGUAGCCGGCCUGAGAGGGUGACCGGCCACAUUGGGACUGAGAUACGGCCCAGACUCCUACGGGAGGCAGCAGUGGGGAAUAUUGCACAAUGGGUGGAAGCCUGAUGCAGCAACGCCGUGUGCGGGAUGACGGCCUUCGGGUUGUAAACCGCUUUCGCUCAUGACGAAGCUUUGUGUGACGGUAGUGGGUAAAGAAGCACCGGCUAACUACGUG